RNAcentral lists this ribosomal RNA (451 nucleotides) under uncultured bacterium. RNAcentral's name for it is "partial 16S ribosomal RNA". It matches the Rfam family "Bacterial small subunit ribosomal RNA", at positions 29 to 523 of the family's 1533-position model. The record is from RNAcentral.
AGCGAACGCUGGCGGCAGGCUUAACACAUGCAAGUCGAGCGGGCACCUUCGGGUGUCAGCGGCGGACGGGUGAGUAACGCGUGGGAACGUGCCUUCUGGUUCGGAAUAACCCUGUGAAACUAGGGCUGAUACCGGAUACGCCCUUUUGGGGAAAGGUUUACUGCCGGAAGAUCGGCCCGCGUCUGAUUAGCUAGUUGGUGGGGUAACGGCCUACCAAGGCGACGGUCAGUAGCUGGUCUGCGAGGAUGAUCAGCCACACUGGGACUGAGACACGGCCCAGACUCCUACGGGAGGCAGCAGUGGGGAAUAUUGGACAAUGGGCGCAAGCCUGAUCCAGCCAUGCCGCGUGAGUGAUGAAGGCCUUAGGGUUGUAAAGCUCUUUUAUCCGGGACGAUAAUGACGGUACCGGAGGAAUAAGCCCCGGCUAACUUCGUGCCAGCCGCCGCCGUAA